Mus musculus (house mouse) is the source of this 773-nucleotide long non-coding RNA. RefSeq annotates it as predicted gene 13778. Lineage: Eukaryota; Metazoa; Chordata; Mammalia; Rodentia; Muridae. The transcript has 2 exons. The record is from RefSeq and is marked validated.
GCAGUUUUUAGCCUGGCGGAUAACUGAAAAGGAGUUUGCACAGGUGCCGGUGCAAUCUAAGAACCCAGCAGGAAGCUGAGAUUCUGAGCCUGGCCUCAAGAAGAAAGAAAGCAGCUUGGGACAUCAGGCCCAUCGGGGCCUUGAAAGGGAAGAAAAAGCCCAGAUCAAGGGAUGAAGGAGGCCCUGCAGUCAACACUCUGGUGCCGGUACAAGCUGGAGCCAGGAGGGCAUCGGAAAUGGCUGGGUAGCUCCAUCUGACCCUAAGCUCCUGGGGAAGGGACCAGGGAUGGAGAGGAUAGUCAAGUGUCCUUUGGCAGCUCCGGUCUCCUCACGCUGAUCACAGAGUUGUGCUGAAGGAGAAGCAGGUUGGUGGAUGUGGGUGCUCUCUGAGAACAAUAAGAAAGUCCAUGUUCUCUACGACAGCCUCAGAUUCACCUCUUCUAAUCUGUCAUGGAGGAUCCAGAGACAUCAGGCCCAAGCUAGAUGUGGUUACAAUACCCACUGUCUCAAGAAGAAAACAAAAACAAAGCCUUCUCAGAACGAAGACUCAAGUCUGGUCCCUGACCACAUCUUGUCAACAUGCCAUAUUUUUCUUCACACACAGUACCUGGGCCCUUUGAUUAGCGUCUCAGACCCUCAGUAACUUCUCCCACAUCUAGAUUUCUAUACCUCCUAUAAAUCUAUGUCACCACUGAAUAUCAGUGAAUAUUAACAUUCUUUGAAUCAGCAGCAAAAUCUCACUGACCAUUAAAGACUCGUCAAGUCUUACUGUU